RNAcentral lists this ribosomal RNA (497 nucleotides) under uncultured bacterium. RNAcentral describes it as "partial 16S ribosomal RNA". It matches the Rfam family "Bacterial small subunit ribosomal RNA", at positions 28 to 507 of the family's 1533-position model. The record is from RNAcentral.
GAUGAACGCUGGCGGCGUGCCUAAUACAUGCAAGUCGAGCGAACAGACGAGGAGCUUGCUCCUCUGACGUUAGCGGCGGACGGGUGAGUAACACGUGGAUAACCUACCUAUAAGACUGGGAUAACUUCGGGAAACCGGAGCUAAUACCGGAUAAUAUAUUGAACCGCAUGGUUCAAUAGUGAAAGACGGUUUUGCUGUCACUUAUAGAUGGAUCCGCGCCGCAUUAGCUAGUUGGUAAGGUAACGGCUUACCAAGGCAACGAUGCGUAGCCGACGUGAGAGAGUGAUCGGCCACACUGGAGCUGAGACACGGUCCAGACUCCUACGGGAGGCAGCAGUAGGGAAUCUUCCGCAAUGGGCGAAAGCCUGACGGAGCAACGCCGCGUGAGUGAUGAAGGUCUUCGGAUCGUAAAACUCUGUUAUUAGGGAAGAACAAAUGUGUAAGUAACUAUGCACGUCUUGACGGUACCUAAUCAGAAAGCCACGGCUAACUACGUG